Molecule: ribosomal RNA, 253 nt
Filed under: uncultured bacterium
Lineage: Bacteria
Description: partial 16S ribosomal RNA
Rfam family: Bacterial small subunit ribosomal RNA
Source: RNAcentral
UACGAAGGGAGCUAGCGUUGUUCGGAAUCACUGGGCGUAAAGCGCACGUAGGCGGAUUUGUAAGUCAGGGGUGAAAUCCCGGGGCUCAACCUCGGAACUGCCUUUGAUACUGCAAAUCUCGAGUCCGGGAGAGGUGAGUGGAAUUCCUAGUGUAGAGGUGAAAUUCGUAGAUAUCUGGAGGAACACCGGUGGCGAAGGCGGCGAUCUGGCCCAACACUGACACUGAGACCCGAAAGCGUGGGGAUCAAACAGG